AUGCAUGACAGCUAUGCAUCCAUGGUGAAGUUACUAUAUAAGUAUAGGGGCAAGCACUGCCCCGACAUACAUCCUAUUUUGAGUUUUUCCUCAAAGUCCCAUGGUCGUGUUGCUGUUAGAGUUGGAAGCACCGCCCUUGAUUUUGAAAUUGGAGAAGGAAGACGGAGAGUUCAGUACAGUAAGGAUGCUCUAUAA
This 195-nucleotide ribosomal RNA is filed under the name Triticum aestivum (bread wheat). RNAcentral's name for it is "partial small subunit ribosomal RNA". The record is from RNAcentral. Lineage: Eukaryota; Viridiplantae; Streptophyta; Magnoliopsida; Poales; Poaceae.